This 426-nucleotide ribosomal RNA is filed under the name uncultured bacterium. RNAcentral's name for it is "bacterial SSU rRNA". It matches the Rfam family "Bacterial small subunit ribosomal RNA", at positions 97 to 520 of the family's 1533-position model. The record is from RNAcentral.
GGCGAACGGGUGAGUAACGCGUGGAUGAUCUGCCCAGAGGUGGGGGAUAACCCGGGGAAACUCGGGCUAAUACCGCAUGAUACCGAGAGGUCAAAGGGGGCUCGCAAGAGCUCUCGCCAUUGGAGGAGUCCGCGUUCGAUUAGCUAGUUGGUAGGGUAAAGGCCUACCAAGGCGACGAUCGAUAGCCGGCCUGAGAGGGUGAUCGGCCACACUGGAACUGAGACACGGUCCAGACUCCUACGGGAGGCAGCAGUGGGGAAUUUUGCGCAAUGGGCUAACGCCUGACGCAGCAACGCCGCGUGGAGGAUGAAGGUCUUUGGAUUGUAAACUCCUGUCAGCAGGGAAAAAGCGACUUAGCCUAAUACGCUAGGGAGUUGAUUGUACCUGCAGAGGAAGCCCCGGCUAACUCUGUGCCAGCAGCCGCGG